This 322-nucleotide ribosomal RNA is filed under the name uncultured eukaryote. RNAcentral describes it as "partial 18S ribosomal RNA". It matches the Rfam family "Eukaryotic small subunit ribosomal RNA", at positions 1470 to 1796 of the family's 1831-position model. The record is from RNAcentral.
CCCUUAGAUGUUCUGGGCCGCACGCGUGCUACACUGAGUGGAUCAGCGGGUCAGGUUGCGCGAAAGUGUUUCCUAAUCUUGAAAUCCGCUCGUGAUGGGGAUUGACGGUUGCAAUUUUCCGUCAUGAACGAGGAAUACCUUGUAAGCGCGGGUCAUCAUCCCGCGCUGAAUACGUCCCUGCCCUUUGUACACACCGCCCGUCGCUCCUACCGAUUGAGUGGUCCGGUGAGGCUUUGGGAUCUGAGCAGAAAGAGCGUUUCGCUGUUUCUGCUCGGAAAACUCAGUCGAACCUUAUCAUUUAGAGGAAGGAGAAGUCGUAACA